CUGCGCGCGCAGGUGGCAAAGCUCCAGAGCGAGAAGGCCGCGCUCGCGGAGCAGCUCGCCGAC
RNAcentral lists this transfer RNA (63 nucleotides) under Prasinoderma coloniale. RNAcentral's name for it is "partial Selenocysteine transfer RNA". Lineage: Eukaryota; Viridiplantae; Prasinodermophyta; Prasinodermophyceae; Prasinodermales; Prasinodermaceae. The record is from RNAcentral.